RNAcentral lists this ribosomal RNA (423 nucleotides) under uncultured bacterium. RNAcentral's name for it is "bacterial SSU rRNA". It matches the Rfam family "Bacterial small subunit ribosomal RNA", at positions 355 to 775 of the family's 1533-position model. The record is from RNAcentral.
UAAGGAAUAUUGGACAAUGCCCGCAAGGGUGAUCCAGCCAUGCCGCGUGCAGGAAGACGGCCCUAUGGGUUGUAAACUGCUUUUACACCGGAGAAAACCCCAGUACGUGUACUGGGCUGAUAGUAUGGUGAGAAUAAGCAUCGGCUAACUUCGUGCCAGCAGCCGCGGUAAGACGAAGGAUGCAAGCGUUAUCCGGAUUCAUUGGGUUUAAAGGGAGCGUAGGUGGCCUUAUAAGUCAGUGGUGAAAUCUCUCGGCUUAACCGAGAAAUUGCCAUUGAUACUGUAGGGCUUGAGUAUAGUUGCCGUUGGCGGAAUAUGACAUGUAGUGGUGAAAUACAUAGAGAUGUCAUAGAACACCGAUUGCGAAGGCAGCUGACGAAACUAUAACUGACACUGAGGCUCGAAAGUGCGGGGAUCAAACAG